AGAGUCGAGUUGUUUGGGAAUGCAGCUCAAAUUGGGUGGUAAAUUCCAUCUAAAGCUAAAUAUUGGCGAGAGACCGAUAGCGAACAAGUACCGUGAGGGAAAGAUGAAAAGCACUUUGGAAAGAGAGUUAACAGUACGUGAAAUUGUUGGAAGGGAAACGCUUGAAGUCAGACUUGCUUGCCGAGCAAUCGGUUUGCAGGCCAGCAUC
This 208-nucleotide ribosomal RNA is filed under the name Rhodotorula mucilaginosa. Its description in RNAcentral is "partial large subunit ribosomal RNA". It matches the Rfam family "Eukaryotic large subunit ribosomal RNA", at positions 261 to 469 of the family's 3401-position model. The record is from RNAcentral. Lineage: Eukaryota; Fungi; Basidiomycota; Microbotryomycetes; Sporidiobolales; Sporidiobolaceae.